Molecule: ribosomal RNA, 555 nt
Filed under: uncultured archaeon
Lineage: Archaea
Description: bacterial SSU rRNA
Rfam family: Archaeal small subunit ribosomal RNA
Source: RNAcentral
CCCUACGGGGUGCAGCAGGCGCGAAACCUCUACAAUGCACGAAAGUGUGAUAGGGGAAUCCCAAGUGCUCAUGUUAAACAUGGGCUUUUGUUAAGUGUGGGUAGCUUAGCGAAUAAGUGAUGGGAAAGACCGGUGCCAGCCGCCGCGGUAAUACCGGCGUCACAAGUGGCAACCGUGUAUUUGGUCUAAAGCGUCCGUAGCAGGUCUUGCAAAUCUUUUGUGAAAGGUCUGAGCUUAACUCAGACAAUGGCAGGAGACACUACAAGACUCGGGACCGGGAGGAGUUAGAGGUAUGCAUGAGGGACUGGUGAAAUGGGAUAAUCUCAUGCAGACCACCGAUGGCGAAGGCAUCUAACCAGAACGGAUCCGACUGUGAGGGACGAAAGCUAGGGGAGCGAACCGGAUUAGAUACCCGAGUAGUCCUAGCCGUAAACGCUGUGAGCAAGGUGUUGCAUAUUCCACGUGAAUAUGCAGUGUCGAAACGAAGGUGAUGAGCUCACCACCUGGGAAGUAUGGUCGCAAGACUGAAACUUAAAGGAAUUGGCGGGGGAGCAC